ACAACUCUAUGCGGUGGAUCACUUGGCUCGUGCGU
RNAcentral lists this ribosomal RNA (35 nucleotides) under Anomalodiscus squamosus. RNAcentral's name for it is "partial 5.8S rRNA". Lineage: Eukaryota; Metazoa; Mollusca; Bivalvia; Venerida; Veneridae. The record is from RNAcentral.